Molecule: non-coding RNA, 73 nt
Organism: Nematostella vectensis (starlet sea anemone)
Lineage: Eukaryota; Metazoa; Cnidaria; Anthozoa; Actiniaria; Edwardsiidae
Source: Rfam
GGCCUUGUGGCCCAAUGGAUAAGGCCCCUGACUACGGAUCAGGAGAUUCGAGGUUAGAGUCCUGGCAGGGUCU